This 524-nucleotide ribosomal RNA is filed under the name uncultured Pseudomonadota bacterium. Its description in RNAcentral is "bacterial SSU rRNA". It matches the Rfam family "Bacterial small subunit ribosomal RNA", at positions 379 to 896 of the family's 1533-position model. Lineage: Bacteria; Pseudomonadati; Pseudomonadota. The record is from RNAcentral.
AACCCUGAUCCAGCCAUGCCGCGUGCGGGAAGUAAGGCCUUCGGGUGUAAACCGCUUUUAGUCGGAAGAAAAGGCGGAGGCGAAUACCCUCCGUUCUUGACGGUACCGGCGGAAUAAGCACCGGCUAACUACGUGCCAGCAGCCGCGGUAAUACGUAGGGUGCGAGCGUUAAUCGGAAUUACUGGGCGUAAAGCGUGCGCAGGCGGUUCGUUGUGUCUGAUGUGAAAGCCCCGGGCUCAACCUGGGAACUGCAUUGGAAACUGGCGGACUUGAGUGUGGCAGAGGGGGGUGGAAUUCCGCGUGUAGCAGUGAAAUGCGUAGAGAUGCGGAGGAACACCGAUGGCGAAGGCAGCCCCCUGGGCCAACACUGACGCUCAGGCACGAAAGCGUGGGGAGCAAACAGGGAUUAGAUACCCUGGUAGUCCACGCCCUAAACGAUGUCGACUGGGUGUCGGGAGAGAGAUCUCUUGGUACCGUAGCUAACGCGUGAAGUCGACCGCCUGGGGAGUACGGCCGCAAGGUUA